ACUCCUACGGGAGGCAGCAGUGGGGAAUAUUGCACAAUGGGCGGAAGCCUGAUGCAGCGACGCCGCGUGAGGGAUGACGGCCUUCGGGUUGUAAACCUCUUUCAGCAGGGACCAAGCGUGAGUGAGUGUACCUGCAGAAGAAGCACCGGCUAACUACGUGCCAGCAGCCGCGGUAAUACGUAGGGUGCGAGCGUUGUCCGGAUUUAUUGGGCGUAAAGGGCUCGUAGGCGGCCUGUCGCGUCGGAAGUGAAAGCCCACUGCUUAACGGUGGGUCUGCUUCCGGUACGGGCAGGCUGGAGUAUGGCAGGGGAGACUGGAAUUCCUGGUGUAGCGGUGGAAUGCGCAGAUAUCAGGAGGAACACCGGUGGCGAAGGCGGGUCUCUGGGCCAUUACUGACGCUGAGGAGCGAAAGCGUGGGGAGCGAACAGGAUUAGAUACCCUGGUAGUCCACGCCGUAAACGUUGGGCGCUAGGUGUGGGGACUUUUCCACGGUCUCCGUGCCGGAGCUAACGCAUUAAGCGCCCCGCCUGGGGAGUACGGCCGCAAGGCUAAAACUCAAAGGAAUUGACGGGGGCCCGCACAAGCGGCGGAGCAUGCGGCUUAAUUCGAUGCAACGCGAAGAACCUUACCAGGGCUUGACAUGCACGGUGCAGGCCUAGAGAUAGGCUGUCCUUUGGGGUCGUGCACAGGUGGUGCAUGGUUGUCGUCAGCUCGUGUCGUGAGAUGUUGGGUUAAGUCCCGCAACGAGCGCAACCCUCGUCCUGUAUUGCCAGCAAGCUGUUGGGGACUUGCGGGAGACUGCCGGGGUCAACUCGGA
This 817-nucleotide ribosomal RNA is filed under the name uncultured Actinomycetes bacterium. RNAcentral's name for it is "bacterial SSU rRNA". It matches the Rfam family "Bacterial small subunit ribosomal RNA", at positions 335 to 1167 of the family's 1533-position model. The record is from RNAcentral. Lineage: Bacteria; Bacillati; Actinomycetota; Actinomycetes.